UACAGAGGGGGCGAGCGUUAUUCGGAAUUAUUGGGCGUAAAGGGCGCGUAGGCGGCUUGAUGUGUCAAAGGUGAAAUCCCUCGGCUCAACUGAGGAACUGCCUUUGAAACUGUCUGGCUUGAGGCCGGGAGAGGGUAGCGGAAUUCCCAGUGUAGCGGUGAAAUGCGUAGAUACUGGGAGGGACACCGGUGGCGAAGGCGGCUACCUGGACCGGUUCUGACGCUGAUGCGCGAAAGCGUGGGUAGCAAACAGG
Molecule: ribosomal RNA, 253 nt
Filed under: uncultured bacterium
Lineage: Bacteria
Description: partial 16S ribosomal RNA
Rfam family: Bacterial small subunit ribosomal RNA
Source: RNAcentral